RNAcentral lists this ribosomal RNA (253 nucleotides) under uncultured bacterium. RNAcentral describes it as "partial 16S ribosomal RNA". It matches the Rfam family "Bacterial small subunit ribosomal RNA", at positions 524 to 776 of the family's 1533-position model. The record is from RNAcentral.
UACGAAGGGGGCUAGCGUUGCUCGGAAUUACUGGGCGUAAAGGGCGCGUAGGCGGCACUGUUAGUCAGGCGUGAAAUUCCUGGGCUCAACCUGGGGACUGCGCUUGAUACGGCAGAGCUAGAGGAUGGAAGAGGCUCGCGGAAUUCCCAGUGUAGAGGUGAAAUUCGUAGAUAUUGGGAAGAACACCGGUGGCGAAGGCGGCGAGCUGGUCCAUUACUGACGCUGAGGCGCGACAGCUAGGGGAGCAAACAGG